GAUGAACGCUAGCGGUAGGCCUAACACAUGCAAGCCGAGCGGUAUUGCUUCUUCGGCUAUGAGUGAGCGGCGUACGGUUGCGUAACACGUGUGCAACCUUCCUUUAUCUGGUGGUUAUCCUUUCUAACGUAAGAUUAAUUCUCCAUAAUAUAUUUACCGGCUUCGUUUAAUAUUGAAAGCUCUUCCGGCUAUAGAUGGUCACGCGCAAGAUUAGCUAGUUGGUUAGGUAACGGCUAACCAAGGCGAUGAUGCUUAGGUGAGAGGCUGGGGUGAUCCCCCAGAAUGGUACUGAGACACGGACUAGAAUCGGACGGGAGGGAGGAGUGAGGAAGAUUGGUCAAUGGAGGCAAACCUGAACCAGCCGUGCCGCGGGAAGGAGGAUUGCGGUAGGGGUUGUAAACUGCUUUUGUAGAAGGAUAAACCGACCAUCGUGAGGGUAGCUGAAGGUACUAUACGAAUAAGCACCGGCUAACUCCGUG
RNAcentral lists this ribosomal RNA (479 nucleotides) under uncultured bacterium. RNAcentral describes it as "partial 16S ribosomal RNA". It matches the Rfam family "Bacterial small subunit ribosomal RNA", at positions 28 to 507 of the family's 1533-position model. The record is from RNAcentral.